GGCGGUUCGCCGCCCGUGACGUUGCGAGAAGUCCACUGAACCUUAUCAUUUAGAGGAAGGAGAAGUCGUAACAAGGUUUCCGUAGGUGAACCUGCGGAAGGAUCAUUGUCGUUUGCGAAAACACGACCGUUGUGCUCGUGAUCGAACGCUGCGGGGGCAGCUUUUGCCUGCCCGUCCCAAAAAAAUACGGCGCGGGUUGCGCCAAGGAACACGAUAUGCAGAGGCGGCGGACGGAGCGCUCUGGCGUGACGUCCGCCAUUGAUGCAAGAGAUAUACACAUUAUGACUCYCGGCAACGGAUAUCUCGGCUCUCGCAUCGAUGAAGAACGUAGCGAAAUGCGAUACGUGGUGUGAAUUGCAGAAUCCCGUGAACCAUCGAGUCUUUGAACGCAAGUUGCGCCCGAGGGAUCCGCCCGAGGGCACGCCUGCCUCAUGGGCGUUAGAAGCCCAUCCACGCUCGGGAGCCUAGCCCCGAUGUGGAUCUUGGCCCUCCGAGCCCCAGGGCGCGGUGGGCCCAAGUGCGUGGCCGUCGGAAGGAGCCGGGAGCGGCGAGUGGUGGACUGCUGCGUUCGUCGCCCUAUGCGCCUUUCCGGCAUAUGGCUUUGCUCGACCCUCGACGAGGAGUUGCGUCGCAUUUUGUUGCGCGCGGCAACUUCGGAUCGAUACCCCAGGUCAGGCGAGGCUACCCGCUGAGUUUAAGCAUAUAAAUAAG
Molecule: ribosomal RNA, 711 nt
Filed under: Schoenus nitens var. concinnus
Lineage: Eukaryota; Viridiplantae; Streptophyta; Magnoliopsida; Poales; Cyperaceae
Description: eukaryotic LSU rRNA
Rfam family: 5.8S ribosomal RNA (bases 284-438)
Source: RNAcentral